GGACGUUACAAACAGCCUAAAUCUUCGUUAUAAAUAUUUCCAUAGCAUUUUCAUCCUCCACACAUCUUCAUAAUCCUUCUCUUCAAACCUUAAACACUUCCCAAUUCUGACUUACCUUCAUUUUCCACUCACUUGAAAAGCAAUGGCAGAAGCAGUUCUCUGUGAUCUUGCAGGGGGAAUCAUUUCAAAGCUGGCUUCUCUAGUUCUUCAAGAGACUAUUCUGUGCUUUGGUGUCAAAGACGAUCUUGGGAAACUCGGGAGGACAGUUUCAACGAUCCAAGCUGUGCUUCUUGAUGCAGAGCAGCAGUAUUCGCAGAGUCAUCAAGUCAAAGUUUGGGUUGAUUCACUAAAAGAAGCAUUUUACGAUGCUGAUGACUUGUUAGAUGAGUUCUCCACAGAUGUUUUGCUGAAGCAGAUGAUGACUGGCAAUAAAAUGGUGAAGGAGGUACGCCUCUUCUUUUCAAGCUCAAACCCGUUUGUUUAUGGUCUUAAAAUGGCUCAUAAGAUUGAAAAUGUUAGAAGCAGAUUAGAUGAGAUUGCUGCAAAUAGGAGGUUUCACUUAAAUGAGUGUCAGGAGAUCACAGCUCCUAUGGUUGAGGAAAGAGAGCAAACUCACUCAUCUCUACCGCAAGUAGUUGUUGGUAGAGAAGAUGAUAAGAAGAAAAUCAUUGAUUUUCUUCUGUCUUCUAGUCAUGGGGAGAAUGUGUCAAUCAUUUCCAUUGUGGGUAUUGGAGGCUUAGGAAAGACAACACUUGCUCAACUUGCAUACAAUGAUGUGGUGGUGAAAUCAUAUUUUGACCUCAAAAUUUGGGUGUGCAUUUCUGAAAAUUUUGAUGUAAAAGUAAUUGUUGAAAAGAUUUUGGAAUCUCUUGAUGGUGAGAAACCUAAAAAUCUUGAAAUGAAUACCUUGAAAGAUCUUCUUCUUGAAAAAAUUAGUGAAAAAAAAUAUUUACUUGUUUUGGAUGAUUUGUGGGAUGAUGAUUCAGAAAAAUGGUUUAAGUUGAAGGAUUUGUUAGUUGGAGGUGCAAGUGGAAGCAAAAUUAUUGUAACCACACGUCACAGAAAAGUUGCAGAAAUGAUAAGAUCAGAAAAAACACAUGACUUACAAAAGCUACUUCCUGAUGAUUCGUGGUCUUUACUUAAAAAAAUGGCCUCUAAACCAGGGCAAGUGAUUAGCUUAGAACAUGAGAAAGUUGGAAGAGAAAUUGUGAAAAAGUAUUGUGAUGGGGUCCCUUUAGCCAUAAGUGUAAUAGGACGUGUAUUGUUUUUUAAAAAUACAAUAGAUGAGUGGCAACUUUUCAAAGAAAAAGAACUUCCAAAUGUAAAUGAAGAGGGAAAUAGUAUUAUGCAGACUCUCAAAUUGAGUUAUAAUUAUCUACCUUCUCAUUUAAAGCGUUGUUUUGCUUAUUAUAGUUUACAUCCAAAAAAUUAUAGAAUUGAUAUAAGACAUUUGGUGGGUCUUUGGAUAGCACAAGGAUUUAUCAAAUCUUCAGAUUCAAAACAAAGUCUUGGAGAUAUAGGCUUAACAUAUUUCAAGGAUCUUGUAUGGAGGUUUUUCUUUGAAAAAGUAGUAGAAGAUUUAUCAGGUAAUUUAACAUAUUGUAAAAUGCAUGAUUUGAUGUGUGACCUUGCUGUGCAAGUUGCUGGAGAGGAAAGCAUUCUAUUAAAUUCAGAUGCAGAGUGUGUUCAAAAAGGAACUCGACAUUUGUCACUUGAUUUUAAGGUUGAUUCAUGGAAUAAAGUUGCAAGUUGUUUACCUAGUAUGACAAAGGUGCGAACGUUUACAUCAUUCAAUUGGUCUACAAGGCAUGAUAUUAAAGAAGAAGAAUGCCACAAAAUUCUUUCCAAAUUAAGCCGUGUAAGGGCGUUAAAUUUGGGUGGUUUGGGAAUUGAGAAACUGCCACGUUCCAUUGGCAAAUUGAAGCACAUAAGAUUUCUUUGUCUUUCUGAAAAUAAAGGCCUUGAGAUCCUUCCUGAUUCCAUACUUGAACUUCAAAACUUGCAAAUUCUGUACCUAAAUGGCUGUGAAAGACUUAGGCAGUUGCCUAGACACAUUAAAAAGUUGGUGAAUCUCCAGCAAAUUUACCUUACGGGAUGUGUUAGUCUGACUCAUAUGCCACCUCGGAUUGGUCAACUCACUUCCCUUGAGAAUUUAUCGGUAUUCAUGGUAGCCAAAGAUGGCAGUGUCUCCAAACAUAGCGGUGGCCUCUGUGAAUUACAUGACUUGAACAAUCUGGGAGGAUAUCUGGAAAUCAUGAAUCUACGGUAUGUGAAAAAUCCAGCAUCUGAAUUUAAGGCAGCCAAUUUGAAAGAGAAGCAACACCUUCAAUUCUUGAGAUUAUCAUGGAAAUUGGGCGAUCCCUAUGAUAAUAAUAGUGAUAGUGGUUCAAAUGAUGUGGAAAAUGAAGAAGAAAUAUCAUUAGAAGAGCUGCGGCCACACAUUAAUCUUAAAUGGUUGAUUGUGCUUGGGUGCCGAAGACUCUUGUUUCCAAGCUGGAUUUCUACCCUCUCUAAUUUGGUGGAACUUCGAAUUGAUAACUGCAAAAAAUGCCAGCAUUUUCCACCGUUGGAUCGGUUCCCUUCACUUAAAACUUUGGGGAUUUAUAAUUCAACUGAUCUGGAGUACAUAGAGAGUGGGAUUAAUUGCGACAAUGCAUUAUUCUUCCCUUCCUUAGAGAGACUCUGGCUCUUAAAUUGCCCAAAUCUGAAGGGAUGGAGGAGGGAUACAUCCACGCCUCAGUUGCUACAAUUUCACUGUCUUUUUUAUUUGGAAAUCAGGUCUUGCCCCAACCUCACUUCAAUGCCUCUAAUUCCAUCUGUCCAACAAUUGGUAUUGAAAAAUGCCAACAAGAAGUCACUGGAGGACAUACUGAAGAUGAAGAUUUCGGUGUCGCAAUC
RNAcentral lists this unclassified non-coding RNA (2898 nucleotides) under Hevea brasiliensis (rubber tree). Lineage: Eukaryota; Viridiplantae; Streptophyta; Magnoliopsida; Malpighiales; Euphorbiaceae. The record is from RNAcentral.